This 2558-nucleotide ribosomal RNA is filed under the name Campylobacter jejuni. Its description in RNAcentral is "partial 23S ribosomal RNA". It matches the Rfam family "Bacterial large subunit ribosomal RNA", at positions 1 to 2409 of the family's 2925-position model. The record is from RNAcentral. Lineage: Bacteria; Pseudomonadati; Campylobacterota; Epsilonproteobacteria; Campylobacterales; Campylobacteraceae.
UAAAAAAAGGUAAGCUACUAAGAGCGAAUGGUGGAUGCCUUGACUGGUAAAGGCGAUGAAGGACGUACUAGACUGCGAUAAGCUACGGGGAGCUGUCAAGAAGCUUUGAUCCGUAGAUUUCCGAAUGGGGCAACCCAAUGUAUAGAGAUAUACAUUACCUAUAUAGGAGCGAACGAGGGGAAUUGAAACAUCUUAGUACCCUCAGGAAAAGAAAUCAAUAGAGAUUGCGUCAGUAGCGGCGAGCGAAAGCGCAAGAGGGCAAACCCAGUGCUUGCACUGGGGGUUGUAGGACUGCAAUGUGCAAGAGGUAAGUUUAGCAGAAUAUUCUGGAAAGUAUAACCAUAGAGGGUGAUAGUCCCGUAUGCGAAAAACAAACCUUAGCUAGCAGUAUCCUGAGUAGGGCGGGACACGAGGAAUCCUGUCUGAAUCCGGGUCGACCACGAUCCAACCCUAAAUACUAAUACCAGAUCGAUAGUGCACAAGUACCGUGAGGGAAAGGUGAAAAGAACUGAGGUGAUCAGAGUGAAAUAGAACCUGAAACCAUUUGCUUACAAUCAUUCAGAGCCCUAUGUAGCAAUACAGGGUGAUGGACUGCCUUUUGCAUAAUGAGCCUGCGAGUUGUGGUGUCUGGCAAGGUUAAGCAAACGCGAAGCCGUAGCGAAAGCGAGUCUGAAUAGGGCGCUUAGUCAGAUGCUGCAGACCCGAAACGAAGUGAUCUAUCCAUGAGCAAGUUGAAGCUAGUGUAAGAACUAGUGGAGGACUGAACCCAUAGGCGUUGAAAAGCCCCGGGAUGACUUGUGGAUAGGGGUGAAAGGCCAAUCAAACUUCGUGAUAGCUGGUUCUCUCCGAAAUAUAUUUAGGUAUAGCGUUGUGUCGUAAUAUAAGGGGGUAGAGCACUGAAUGGGCUAGGGCAUACACCAAUGUACCAAACCCUAUCAAACUCCGAAUACCUUAUAUGUAAUCACAGCAGUCAGGCGGCGAGUGAUAAAAUCCGUCGUCAAGAGGGAAACAACCCAGACUACCAGCUAAGGUCCCUAAAUCUUACUUAAGUGGAAAACGAUGUGAAGUUACUUAAACAACCAGGAGGUUGGCUUAGAAGCAGCCAUCCUUUAAAGAAAGCGUAAUAGCUCACUGGUCUAGUGAUUUUGCGCGGAAAAUAUAACGGGGCUAAAGUAAGUACCGAAGCUGUAGACUUGCGCACAACUUAGAUUAUUUAAGUUUAGAAUAUGAGAAACUAAGUUAUGUUUAGUUAUAUUUUUACUGAUUUUUAUAGAGUAAAGAUAGAAAUAAAACUUAGUAAAAUCAGUAAAAAUAUUCUUAGGCUAAAGUUAAGUAGUUUAAGUUGUGUGCAAGUGGUAGGAGAGCGUUCUAUUUGCGUCGAAGGUAUACCGGUAAGGAGUGCUGGAGCGAAUAGAAGUGAGCAUGCAGGCAUGAGUAGCGAUAAUUAAUGUGAGAAUCAUUAACGCCGUAAACCCAAGGUUUCCUACGCGAUGCUCGUCAUCGUAGGGUUAGUCGGGUCCUAAGUCGAGUCCGAAAGGGGUAGACGAUGGCAAAUUGGUUAAUAUUCCAAUACCAACAUUAGUGUGCGAUGGAAGGACGCUUAGGGCUAAGGGGGCUAGCGGAUGGAAGUGCUAGUCUAAGGUCGUAGGAGGUUAUACAGGCAAAUCCGUAUAACAAUACUCCGAGAACUGAAAGGCUUUUUGAAGUCUUCGGAUGGAUAGAAGAACCCCUGAUGCCGUCGAGCCAAGAAAAGUUUCUAAGUUUAGCUAAUGUUGCCCGUACCGUAAACCGACACAGGUGGGUGGGAUGAGUAUUCUAAGGCGCGUGGAAGAACUCUCUUUAAGGAACUCUGCAAAAUAGCACCGUAUCUUCGGUAUAAGGUGUGGUUAGCUUUGUAUUAGGAUUUACUCCGAAAGCAAGGAAACUUACAACAAAGAGUCCCUCCCGACUGUUUACCAAAAACACAGCACUCUGCUAACUCGUAAGAGGAUGUAUAGGGUGUGACGCCUGCCCGGUGCUCGAAGGUUAAUUGAUGGGGUUAGCAUUAGCGAAGCUCUUGAUCGAAGCCCGAGUAAACGGCGGCCGUAACUAUAACGGUCCUAAGGUAGCGAAAUUCCUUGUCGGUUAAAUACCGACCUGCAUGAAUGGCGUAACGAGAUGGGAGCUGUCUCAAAGAGGGAUCCAGUGAAAUUGUAGUGGAGGUGAAAAUUCCUCCUACCCGCGGCAAGACGGAAAGACCCCGUGGACCUUUACUACAGCUUGACACUGCUACUUGGAUAAGAAUGUGCAGGAUAGGUGGGAGGCUUUGAGUAUAUGACGCCAGUUGUAUAUGAGCCAUUGUUGAGAUACCACUCUUUCUUAUUUGGGUAGCUAACCAGCUUGAGUUAUCCUCAAGUGGGACAAUGUCUGGUGGGUAGUUUGACUGGGGCGGUCGCCUCCCAAAUAAUAACGGAGGCUUACAAAGGUUGGCUCAGAACGGUUGGAAAUCGUUCGUAGAGUAUAAAGGUAUAAGCCAGCUUAACUGCAAGACAUACAAGUCAAGCAGAGACGAAAGUCGG